GGUGUUCCUGGUUUGGGAAGUAUAAAUCCCGUGGGAAGCCAACUGGAGGACAUUUUAUGCAUCACUCAUCCUAUUAUGAGCCUGCUGCUCUUCUGUCUCUUGACAAGG
RNAcentral lists this long non-coding RNA (108 nucleotides) under Mus pahari (shrew mouse). RNAcentral's name for it is "sRNA (MGP_PahariEiJ_G0008373.1)". It matches the Rfam family "Rhabdomyosarcoma 2 associated transcript conserved region 4". The record is from RNAcentral. Lineage: Eukaryota; Metazoa; Chordata; Mammalia; Rodentia; Muridae.